CUCACAAUGAAGAGGUUCACAUGUCUGAUCCUCUUCAUCAACCCAGCGCCCCAGCUUCAUCAAUUAACCCACGCCCUCUCUCUCUCUCCACUCCCAUGUAAACCCACGCCCUCUCUCUCUCCACUCCCAUGUAAACCCACGCACUUCAUCAACCCGGAGCUCGAUCCUCUUCAUCGCACGCCCCAGCUUCAUCAACCCGGCGCUCGAUCGAGGCGAAAAACUGCGAUUUUCCUAUUUCGGAGAUCGAGUGAGAGCGAACGAUCAAGCGAACUAGAGAGAGAGAGAGAGUUCGAUUUUUCUAUCUGCGUCCAAAUGUCGCGAAGCCAUUCGAAUCGAGGGUGAUUCCACAGUGAUUCGACGAUCUGAUAGGCUUUUUGAGUGCGAAGAACGCCGAUCCUGAAGAAUCUGGGGAUUUUAAGUUAAAAUUUGGGAAAAAAUUUUAGUGAUUUUUUAGUUUGACGGCUCUUGAGUUUCUGCUACUAUUUCUUGAUCCAAAUGAAGUUGUUGCGAUCUGUAUAAUUUAUUUUUGCGAAAUUAGAGUUAAUCCUACUCGCUAUGUUGUCCUGUUCAAAGUUUCAAAUCGAAUUCUCAGCUACGUGGUUCUUCUUUUUUUUUUUCCUUUUAAUUCUCCCUAAUUUUUCGAUGUCCUCCGGAGAUCCGAUUGAUCAUUUAGGGCUCCGAAAUGUUCUUCAUCUCCCUCGCCCUCUCUUCGAUCUGUUGCUGCGAUCAAAUUUCGAAGAUCUGAGUGAUUUCGAAGUGAUUGAGCCGAUCGAGUUAAACUGCGAUUUUCCUAUUUGAUCGCGUGGAUUUGAUCGCACUGCUCCAAAGCUUCCUUAGGUGGUCCUCUUCACAAAUCCAAGCUCAAUCCCAAACUGCGGCACAUCGCUCCUCUUCCUCUGCUGCUUCUUGUGCUUGUUUUCGGCAAAAUUAAGCUCCAAUUCGGACGACGGAUCAAGAGAGAUCACCAUCGAUACUGAAAAAUAUAGGAAUCUCCGGUUUAUGAAUAAUUUCGAAGUGAUCUGUUGAGCCGAUCGAGUUAAACUGCGAUUCCCUAUUUGGUCGCUUGGAUUUGAUCGCAUUGCUUCAAAGCUUCCUUAGGUUUGGGCCUAAUUGUAAAGUAACUAUGACUCUAAGUUGCUAGAGAUGCAGCAAAAUUAUGAGCAGAAAUUACAAGGGAUGCAAAAGAAUUAUAAAUCACAGUUGGAAGAUAUGAAGCAGCUAUUAGUUCAAAUCGCCUCAAAACUGCAAUGAGGGGCUCUCAGACAAUUUUACCUAGGGCAACGUUCCAACGACGUGAGCAUCAUCAGGAUGAAUAUUGUCUGACAUAUACUAUUUUGGUGGGAAUCCUAAAGCAGUUGAGCUCUGCUCAUAUAACUCUUUUCAUCACAUUUUGUCUACGGCUACAUAUACAUUACCGGAGGGCAUUCGUUUAAACUGAAAACACUAUAUACGCUAUACGAUUAAUAAUUCAUUGUGAAUAAAAAAGUGAUGAAAUUUUUGUUUGUUCCUAUUAUUCCCUGCUUAUACAAUAGUAGAGAAUUUUUGAUUUCU
Molecule: long non-coding RNA, 1551 nt
Organism: Ananas comosus (pineapple)
Lineage: Eukaryota; Viridiplantae; Streptophyta; Magnoliopsida; Poales; Bromeliaceae
Exons: 7
Source: RefSeq, a predicted model, not a curated record